AUUGAACGCUGGCGGCAUGCCUUACACAUGCAAGUCGAACGGCAGCACGGGUGCUUGCACCUGGUGGCGAGUGGCGAACGGGUGAGUAAUACAUCGGAACAUGUCCUGUAGUGGGGGAUAGCCCGGCGAAAGCCGGAUUAAUACCGCAUACGAUCUACGGAUGAAAGCGGGGGACCUUCGGGCCUCGCGCUAUAGGGUUGGCUGAUGGCUGAUUAGCUAGUUGGUGGGGUAAAGGCCUACCAAGGCGACGAUCAGUAGCUGGUCUGAGAGGACGACCAGCCACACUGGGACUAAGACACGGCCCAGACUCCUACGGGAGGCAGCAGUGGGGAAUUUUGGACGAUGGGCGAAAGCCUGAUCCAGCAAUGCCGCGUGUGUGAAGAAGGCCUUCGGGUUGUAAAGCACUUUUGUCCGGAAAGAAAUCCUUGGCCCUAAUACGGUCGGGGGAUGACGGUACCGGAAGAAUAAGCACCGGCUAACUACGUG
This 486-nucleotide ribosomal RNA is filed under the name uncultured bacterium. RNAcentral describes it as "partial 16S ribosomal RNA". It matches the Rfam family "Bacterial small subunit ribosomal RNA", at positions 30 to 507 of the family's 1533-position model. The record is from RNAcentral.